This 757-nucleotide ribosomal RNA is filed under the name Cladosporium cladosporioides. Its description in RNAcentral is "SSU rRNA". It matches the Rfam family "Eukaryotic small subunit ribosomal RNA", at positions 240 to 1001 of the family's 1831-position model. The record is from RNAcentral. Lineage: Eukaryota; Fungi; Ascomycota; Dothideomycetes; Cladosporiales; Cladosporiaceae.
UCCUUGGUGAAUCAUAAUAACUUAACGAAUCGCAUGGCCUUGCGCCGGCGAUGGUUCAUUCAAAUUUCUGCCCUAUCAACUUUCGAUGGUAGGAUAGUGGCCUACCAUGGUAUCAACGGGUAACGGGGAAUUAGGGUUCGACUCCGGAGAGGGAGCCUGAGAAACGGCUACCACAUCCAAGGAAGGCAGCAGGCGCGCAAAUUACCCAAUCCCGACACGGGGAGGUAGUGACAAUAAAUACUGAUACAGGGCUCUUUUGGGUCUUGUAAUUGGAAUGAGUACAAUUUAAAUCCCUUAACGAGGAACAAUUGGAGGGCAAGUCUGGUGCCAGCAGCCGCGGUAAUUCCAGCUCCAAUAGCGUAUAUUAAAGUUGUUGCAGUUAAAAAGCUCGUAGUUGAACCUUGGGCCUGGCUGGCCGGUCCGCCUCACCGCGUGUACUGGUCCGGCCGGGCCUUUCCUUCUGGGGAACCUCAUGCCCUUCACUGGGCGUGUUGGGGAACCAGGACUUUUACUUUGAAAAAAUUAGAGUGUUCAAAGCAGGCCUUUGCUCGAAUACAUUAGCAUGGAAUAAUAGAAUAGGACGUGUGGUUCUAUUUUGUUGGUUUCUAGGACCGCCGUAAUGAUUAAUAGGGAUAGUCGGGGGCAUCAGUAUUCAAUCGUCAGAGGUGAAAUUCUUGGAUUGAUUGAAGACUAACUACUGCGAAAGCAUUUGCCAAGGAUGUUUUCAUUAAUCAGUGAACGAAAGUUAGGGGAUCGA